RNAcentral lists this ribosomal RNA (496 nucleotides) under uncultured bacterium. Its description in RNAcentral is "partial 16S ribosomal RNA". It matches the Rfam family "Bacterial small subunit ribosomal RNA", at positions 28 to 506 of the family's 1533-position model. The record is from RNAcentral.
GAUGAACGCUGGCGGCGUGCCUAAUACAUGCAAGUCGAACGCAUAGCGAAAGGUGCUUGCACCUUUCAAGUGAGUGGCGAACGGGUGAGUAACACGUGGACAACCUGCCUCAAGGCUGGGGAUAACAUUUGGAAACAGAUGCUAAUACCGAAUAAAACUUAGUGUCGCAUGACACAAAGUUAAAAGGCGCUUCGGCGUCACCUAGAGAUGGAUCCGCGGUGCAUUAGUUAGUUGGUGGGGUAAAGGCCUACCAAGACAAUGAUGCAUAGCCGAGUUGAGAGACUGAUCGGCCACAUUGGGACUGAGACACGGCCCAAACGACUACGGGAGGCUGCAGUAGGGAAUCUUCCACAAUGGGCGAAAGGCUGAUGGAGCAACGCCGCGUGUGUGAUGAAGGCUUUCGGGUCGUAAAGCACUGUUGUAUGGGAAGAACAGCUAGAAUAGGAAAUGAUUUUAGUUUGACGGUACCAUACCAGAAAGGGACGGCUAAAUACGU